GAUGAACGCUGGCGGCGUGCCUAAUACAUGCAAGUCGAGCGAACGGACGAGAAGCUUGCUUCUCUGAUGUUAGCGGCGGACGGGUGAGUAACACGUGGAUAACCUACCUAUAAGACUGGGAUAACUUCGGGAAACCGGAGCUAAUACCGGAUAAUAUUUUGAACCGCAUGGUUCAAAAGUGAAAGACGGUCUUGCUGUCACUUAUAGAUGGAUCCGCGCUGCAUUAGCUAGUUGGUAAGGUAACGGCUUACCAAGGCAACGAUGCAUAGCCGACCUGAGAGGGUGAUCGGCCACACUGGAACUGAGACACGGUCCAGACUCCUACGGGAGGCAGCAGUAGGGAAUCUUCCGCAAUGGGCGAAAGCCUGACGGAGCAACGCCGCGUGAGUGAUGAAGGUCUUCGGAUCGUAAAACUCUGUUAUUAGGGAAGAACAUAUGUGUAAGUAACUGUGCACAUCUUGACGGUACCUAAUCAGAAAGCCACGGCUAACUACGUGCCAGCAGCCGCGGUAAUACGUAGGUGGCAAGCGUUAUCCGGAAUUAUUGGGCGUAAAGCGCGCGUAGGCGGUUUUUUAAGUCUGAUGUGAAAGCCCACGGCUCAACCGUGGAGGGUCAUUGGAAACUGGAAAACUUGAGUGCAGAAGAGGAAAGUGGAAUUCCAUGUGUAGCGGUGAAAUGCGCAGAGAUAUGGAGGAACACCAGUGGCGAAGGCGACUUUCUGGUCUGUAACUGACGUUGAUGUGCGAAAGCGUGGGGAUCAAACAGGAUUAGAUACCCUGGUAGUCCACGCCGUAAACGAUGAGUGCUAAGUGUUAGGGGGUUUCCGCCCCUUAGUGCUGCAGCUAACGCAUUAAGCACUCCGCCUGGGGAGUACGACCGCAAGGUUGAAACUCAAAGGAAUUGACGGGGACCCGCACAAGCGGUGGAGCAUGUGGUUUAAUUCGAAGCAACGCGAAGAACCUUACCAAAUCUUGACAUCCUUUGACAACUCUAGAGAUAGAGCCUUCCCCUUCGGGGGACAAAGUGACAGGUGGUGCAUGGUUGUCGUCAGCUCGUGUCGUGAGAUGUUGGGUUAAGUCCCGCAACGAGCGCAACCCUUAAGCUUAGUUGCCAUCAUUAAGUUGGGCACUCUAAGUUGACUGCCGGUGACAAACCGGAGGAAGGUGGGGAUGACGUCAAAUCAUCAUGCCCCUUAUGAUUUGGGCUACACACGUGCUACAAUGGACAAUACAAAGGGCAGCGAAACCGCGAGGUCAAGCAAAUCCCAUAAAGUUGUUCUCAGUUCGGAUUGUAGUCUGCAACUCGACUACAUGAAGCUGGAAUCGCUAGUAAUCGUAGAUCAGCAUGCUACGGUGAAUACGUUCCCGGGUCU
Molecule: ribosomal RNA, 1372 nt
Filed under: uncultured bacterium
Lineage: Bacteria
Description: bacterial SSU rRNA
Rfam family: Bacterial small subunit ribosomal RNA
Source: RNAcentral